UACAGGGGGUGCAAACGUUGCUCGGAAUUAUUGGGCGUAAAGCGCGCGUAGGCGGUUACUUAAGUCGGAUGUGAAAGCCCUUGGCUCAACUGAGGAAGUGCACCCGAAACUGAGUAGCUUGAGUACUAAAGAGGGUCGCGGAAUUCCCGGUGUAGAGGUGAAAUUCGUAGAUAUCGGGAGGAACACCGGUGGCGAAGGCGGCGACCUGGGUAGAUACUGACACUGAGGAACGAAAGCCAGGGGAGCAAACGGG
Molecule: ribosomal RNA, 253 nt
Filed under: uncultured bacterium
Lineage: Bacteria
Description: partial 16S ribosomal RNA
Rfam family: Bacterial small subunit ribosomal RNA
Source: RNAcentral